GUUGGGGACAGGGCUGAAUGUGUAAAGGUCAACAGAACAGUGGUCUCCUGAUGGAGUUGGGGACAGGGCAUGAACUCAUUGUAAAGGUCAACAGAGCAGUGGUCUCCUGAUGGAGUUGGGGACAGGGCUGAAUGUGUAAAGGUCAACAGAACAGUGGUCUCCUGAUGGAGUUGGGAACAGGGCUGACUGUGUAAAGGUCAACAGAACAGUGGUCUCCUGAUGGAGUUGGGGACAGGGCUGAAUGUGUAAAGGUCAACAGAACAGUGGUCUCCUGAUGGAGUUGGGGACAGGGCAGAAUGUGUAAAGGUCAACAGAACAGUGGUCUCCUGAUGGAGUUGGGGACAGGGCAUGAACUCAUUGUAAAGGUCAACGAGAACAGUGGUCUCCUAAUGGAGUUGGGGACAGGGCUGAAUGUGUAAAGGUCAACAGAACAGUGGUCUCCUGAUGGAGUUGGGGACAGGGCAUGAACUCAUUGUAAAGGUCAACAUAACAGUGGUCUCCUGAUGGAGUUGGGGACAGGGCUGAAUGUGUAAAGGUCAACAGAACAGUGGUCUCCUGAUGGAGUUGGGGACAGGGCUGAAUGUGUAAAGGUCAACAGAACAGUGGUCUCCUGAUGGAGUUGGGGACAGGGCAUGAACUCAUUGUAAAGGUCAACAGAACAGUGGUCUCCUGAAUGAGUUGGGGACAGGGCUGAAUGUAUAAAGGUCAACAGAACAGUGGUCUCCUGAUGGAGUUGGGGACAGGGCUGAAUGUGUAAAGGUCAACAGAACAGUGGUCUCCUGAAUGAGUUGGGGACAGGGCUGAAUGUGUAAAGGUCAACAGAACAGUGGUCUCCUGAUGGAGUUGGGGACAGGGCAUGAACUCAUUGUAAAGGUCAACAGAGCAGUGGUCUCCUGAUGGAGUUGGGGACAGGGCUGAAUGUGUAAAGGUCAACAGAACAGUGGUCUCCUGAUGGAGUUGGGAACAGGGCUGAAUGUGUAAAGGUCAACAGAACAGUGGUCUCCUGAUGGAGUUGGGGACAGGGCUGAAUGUGUACAGGUCAACAGAACAGUGGUCUCCUGAAUGAGUUGGGGACAGGGCUGAAUGUGUAAAGGUCAACAGAACAGUGGUCUCCUGAUGGAGUUGGGGACAGGGCAUGAACUCAUUGUAAAGGUCAACAGAGCAGUGGUCUCCUGAUGGAGUUGGGGACAGGGCUGAAUGUGUAAAGGUCAACAGAACAGUGGUCUCCUGAUGGAGUUGGGAACAGGGCUGACUGUGUAAAGGUCAACAGAACAGUGGUCUCCUGAUGGAGUUGGGGACAGGGCUGAAUGUGUAAAGGUCAACAGAACAGUCGUCUCCUGAUGGAGUUGGGGACAGGGCAGAAUGUGUAAAGGUCAACAGAACAGUGGUCUCCUGAUGGAGUUGGGGACAGGGCAUGAACUCAUUGUAAAGGUCAACAGAACAGUGGUCUCCUGAUGGAGUUGGG
Molecule: long non-coding RNA, 1465 nt
Organism: Oncorhynchus tshawytscha (Chinook salmon)
Lineage: Eukaryota; Metazoa; Chordata; Actinopteri; Salmoniformes; Salmonidae
Source: Ensembl